GCGGGUGUAGCUCAAUGGCAGAGCAUAAGCUUCCCAAGCUUGAGACGAGGGUUCGAUUCCCUUCACCCGCUCCA
This 74-nucleotide transfer RNA is filed under the name Holosporales bacterium. RNAcentral describes it as "tRNA-Gly". It matches the Rfam family "tRNA". From Rfam's summary of the family: Transfer RNA (tRNA) molecules are approximately 80 nucleotides in length. Their secondary structure includes four short double-helical elements and three loops (D, anti-codon, and T loops). The record is from RNAcentral. Lineage: Bacteria; Pseudomonadati; Pseudomonadota; Alphaproteobacteria; Holosporales.